RNAcentral lists this ribosomal RNA (464 nucleotides) under Vreelandella stevensii. RNAcentral describes it as "partial 16S ribosomal RNA". It matches the Rfam family "Bacterial small subunit ribosomal RNA", at positions 338 to 795 of the family's 1533-position model. The record is from RNAcentral. Lineage: Bacteria; Pseudomonadati; Pseudomonadota; Gammaproteobacteria; Oceanospirillales; Halomonadaceae.
CCUACGGGGUGCUGCAGUGGGGAAUAUUGGACAAUGGGCGAAAGCCUGAUCCAGCCAUGCCGCGUGUGUGAAGAAGGCCUUCGGGUUGUAAAGCACUUUCAGUGGGGAAGAAAGCCUUGGGGCUAAUACCCUCGAGGAAGGACAUCACCCACAGAAGAAGCACCGGCUAACUCCGUGCCAGCAGCCGCGGUAAUACGGAGGGUGCGAGCGUUAAUCGGAAUUACUGGGCGUAAAGCGCGCGUAGGCGGUCUGAUAAGCCGGUUGUGAAAGCCCCGGGCUCAACCUGGGAACGGCAUCCGGAACUGUCAGGCUAGAGUGCAGGAGAGGAAGGUAGAAUUCCCGGUGUAGCGGUGAAAUGCGUAGAGAUCGGGAGGAAUACCAGUGGCGAAGGCGGCCUUCUGGACUGACACUGACGCUGAGGUGCGAAAGCGUGGGUAGCAAACAGGAUUAGAUACCUGGUAGUC